CAAUUUGCAGGUGUUUUUUGCAAGUAACACAGAGUAAUGUUUCUUUGGUGUCCGCCAACAGCCACUUGAAGACCCCAGUGUGGGAUUUAGUUGUUGUAAGCCAGACAGAUUUUUUCAGGUGAGGGUUGGGUGGGUGUAAGAGCAUAAGGGUGGAUGAUGUUCAGGGUAGUAAGUGGGGAGUGGGUUUACCAGGUGUCUCUACAAUUCAAAAAUCUAUGUCGCUGUAGUGUUAUUUCCCAUCACCGCAUUAGAUCUUAGAAACUGUUUAGCGAUCCAAAUUUUUUUUAACAAGUCACACUGAAAUCCAAAAUGUGAUUCUAAAUCAAAGGACAAGAAUAUUGAAAAAAAUCAGCAAAUUUUCACUCGCAGACAAGGUUUUAAGUUUUCACAUUUAGUUUUCUUUUCAUUUGUCUAGACCUACGCGUGGUAGCCAUGUGUUUUUUUUUUUUUUUUUUAAUUUUUAGUCUUCACUCCCUGUCAUUGUUGAUGAUAUAGCACUUGUCACUCUGCCUUGGAUUCUGUAUCUGUCUCUCUAAUCGGAGGUACAGUCGGUUGAGUAUAAAAUGAGUACCGGAUUUCAGGUCUGGUACUGCCUACGUGCACUGUUCAAUUUUCCCAGUUUACAGUCGGACGCUCAAGGGAAAACUAGCUCUUAUGCUGACAGAUUAGUGUGGUGUCAUUGCUUUGCAUUAAAAGAAAAAAAGAAGAAAAAAAAGAAGAAAAAGAACGUUGAACUAGAAACUGUUGCCAGCCAUGUCUCCUUCUGAGAACUAAACAUUGGUUUGGAUCUUGGAAGUAAUAAUGCAGGAACUGCCAUAGAAACAUCCUGCUUCAUACUACAAACUAUAGAAAUAUACUGCUCAGUACAGAAAAAUAAAAAUUCUACAAAUUUGAUUUAAACAGAUAAGUAAAAUGUGCUGUUGAUUUUUUAAAAAAAAAAGUAAAACAUCAAUAUCUUUAGGGGAGAACCUUAUUUAAAUUUUGUUUGUUUACUGUUGUUUCUCUUUUCUGUCCUGGAGACACCAGGACUUGAUCACUAUGUAAUGAACUGUAAUGUCUCUCAUGUUUUUUGCCUUUACUAUACACAAGUCUUCAGGUUGAACAAAAAUUUGCAUUGGGGAGAGAUUUAUGAUAUAUAAAUAUAUAGAGAGAACUUAAAAUACUUAGGAAAUUGCACACUCAUGUAAGUUCCUAUGUUCAAAACACAUUUAUGGUCUACUUUUUUUCCUGUAUUUAGAAUGGUAUUUGAAAUUAAUGUUCACUUAGUGUAGGCACUUAUAGUAUUUAUGUUGGAGCCUGUAUUUUUAACUGUUUUGCCUGUACUCUUUAAAGGUUUCAAUGUACCCUUUUUCUGUAGUGAAAAAAAAAUCCCAACAAGCUGCCACCGUAUAUUUUCUUAAUUUGGCAGGAUAAUAUAGUGUGAAUAAUUUGUAUGCUUGAAAAUAAGUAUUUCUGAAAAAUAAAAUGUUGUGGUGUUCCCCAAGGGUGAGAGGUCAUAUGAUGGCCUUUUCAGGCAGUCCCGCUGGAGUGACCACAAUGAGUUAUGGAGAUGCCACUCUAUUUUCAGCCGUUGUCUGCAUUAUUCUCUUCACUCAGCCAUUUUGUCUUGAAAAAUAAUAAAAAGUAUUACAUACAUAUUUGAAUUUGGUGCUUUUAUUAAUUUUUUUUGUCAUAGUAUGCACAGUCACAAU
Molecule: long non-coding RNA, 1691 nt
Organism: Astatotilapia calliptera (eastern happy)
Lineage: Eukaryota; Metazoa; Chordata; Actinopteri; Cichliformes; Cichlidae
Source: Ensembl